UUUUUCAAUUCAAAGAUAAUCAUAGCGCUGCUCAGAUAUGAUAUGUAAAGAUGGCAUGCUUCAAUCAACGGACUCAAGGCUCCCAACUAGCAUAUAUAGGUGACAUGCAAUAGUUACCAUUUAAAUAAAUACUUCUAAAUGAGUAAAUAAUAUCUGUUCAUGCUCAAGACCCUACCUCUUACCAUAACCGAUACAAAAUCCAUGUACCCUGAUAUAAAAUUCAUGUAUUCCAUACAAAAUUCAUGUAUUACAGUAACCAAUACAAAAUCUACGUAUUGACCCGAUAUAUAAUUCGUAUAUCGACCACGCUCAAAUUAACAUGGGUAUACCUGACUCCGAGGGAAUGGUAACAAAUCCAAGCACAAAAAGAAGCUUGAUAGCUCACCUAUGAUUAAAUAUCCGCUCAUCAUGUCAUGUUCCAUAAUUGUAUCUCAACCGCACGAAACUGUCUUUCGUGCCACAAUUUGAGUCCAAUUCAAGUAUCCAAAUAUAACACAUAUGUUUGUGCCUAAGAAUUAAUAGAUAAAAGAUGCACAGGAACUUAAUAAUAAUCAUGUGAAUAUGUGCUCAAGAAAUUUCUAUAUGACAGCAGAUGAUUCAAGCAAUUCAACAUAUCAAGAACAAGCUCCCAUAUCUUCAUAAAUAACCAUAAAUCUGGGUAUGAUCUCAAACACGAAUAAGAGGUGAAUGUAUUCAUACAAGUCAAACAAAUCAUAAGUCAAGAUGAGCACAUAAUUAAAAAAAGGCAUAAAGUAUCUCAAUUGUACCCGGACAUGAUAUAAUUUUUGUAAGUGCAUAUACGCUCGACAUCCCGUAUAUACAUACCCCCAAUACCAUAAACACAUAACAAUCAAGUAAAAUCCUAGGGGUUUCCCUCUUAAUAAGAUUAGCCAUGAGACUUACCUCUUUCUUGCCUAGCCUCAAUCAAAAAUUGCGUCAAAACCUCGCUCCAGCCCUCAAUCAUGAAAAUCCAAGUCAAGCUUCAUCCAAGGAAGUCAAACAAUGUUAUAGGAAGUGAAUAGAACUUCAAUCUUUGAUGAAUUCCCAAAAAGUCAACCUGGACGCAUGUGCCCGAAAUUCGAAACCAUUACUAAAAUCCGAUGACCCAUAACCUACUGAGUCGAAAUAUAAUUAGAUCCAAAUCCGGAUCUAAUCGAUGGUCAAAAUUACAAAAUACAAUCUCUUAAAAGUAUAGGCAAAAACCCCAAAUUUUCUUUCAAUAUUUUUGGAUGUAGGAGUCCAUGUAGAUCUUUGAAUUAUAAUCACAAAUAGGUAGAAAUCACUUUCCCUCUUGCCUUGCAUGAAAAUCCCCAUGAAAAAUCACCUAUUUCCAAGUCUAUGGCUUAGAAUAUGAGAGCCUGAGUAAAAGUCUUGAAAUAAUAUCUUAAAUAAUCUGCCCAGAAGUACCCUUCGCGAACAUGGCACAAGUUUCGCAUUCGCGAAGCACAAAACACUGCUGCUCAGGAAAAUGCUCUACGCGAUCGCGAAAGAGGCCAUGCAAUCGCGAAGGCCUGCUGCUCUCACAACAUCGCGAAGCGUCUGACCAACCGCGAAUGCAUUAACCAGACACCGGCCACGCUCCCGUUCUACGCGAACACAAUUAGAGACAUGUGAACUCGUAUACCAGUCUGCUUACAACACGUGAACGUGAAGGAACCAUUGCGAACACGAAGCACAAAGCCCUGAUUGGCCAAAUUCUUCUCUGCAAUCUUGAUCCUAGCUCCGCGAUCGCGAAGCACUCCAGAAUACCAGCAACACAGCAGCUCCAAACUCAACCAAAAUGGUCUGAAACCAUCCCCAAACACACCUGAGCCCCUCGAGACUCCGUCCAAUCAUGAAAACAAGUCCAAAUACAUUAUCCAAAUUUAUUCAAAGACUUGAAACAUUGCAAAUAAUAUUAAAACCACGAAUCGAAGAUUAAAAUUAUUCUCUUAACUUUCGAACAUGCCUAUUUCGUCGAACUCAUCCGAAUUACGCUCAGACAUUCCGGAUUACAGUUAAAUUUUGCACACGUAUUCCAUCCAACUAAAUGAAAAUUUUCAAGGUCUCAAAAACACAAUCCGAGUCUGAUAACACCAAAGUCAACUUCCGUUUAAACUUAUGAACUUU
This 2109-nucleotide long non-coding RNA is filed under the name Nicotiana tabacum (common tobacco). RNAcentral's name for it is "long non-coding RNA (NTAB_LNC012920)". Lineage: Eukaryota; Viridiplantae; Streptophyta; Magnoliopsida; Solanales; Solanaceae. The record is from RNAcentral.